GGGCUAUAGAUCAGUGGUAGAUCACCUGCUUUGCCUACAGAAGAUUCCAGGUUCAAUCCCUGGCAUCUCCA
Podarcis lilfordi (Lilford's wall lizard) is the source of this 71-nucleotide non-coding RNA. NCBI's taxonomy places the organism in Eukaryota, Metazoa, Chordata, Lepidosauria, Squamata, Lacertidae. The record is from the annotation of a GenBank genome assembly.